AGCAGCCGCGGUAAUUCCAGCUCCAAUAGCGUAUAUUAAAGUUGUUGCAGUUAAAAAGCUCGUAGUUGAAUUUCGGGAUUAGCAGGUCGGUCGUGCCACUGGUACGUACUGGUCUUGCUGAUUCCUCCCUCUUGACGAGCCGUAAUGCCACUAAUUUGGUGUUGCGGGGAAUCGGGACUGUUACUUUGAAAAAUUAGAGUGUUUAAAGCAGGCUAACGCUUGAAUACAUUAGCAUGGAAUAAUGAAAUAGGACGUUCGAUCUUAUUUUGUUGGUUUCUAAGAUUGACGUAAUGAUUAAUAGGGAUAGUUGGGGGCAUUAGUAUUCAAUUGUCAGAGGUGAAAUUCUUGGAUUUAUUGAAGGCUAACUACUGCGAAAGCAUUUGCCAGGGAUGUUUUCAUUAAUCAAGAACGAAAGUUAGGGGAUCGAAGACGAUCAGAUACCGUCGUAGUCUUAACCAUAAACUAUAGCCGACUAGGGAUCGGAUGAUGUUAAUUUUUUAAUGUACUCA
Molecule: ribosomal RNA, 509 nt
Filed under: uncultured Glomeraceae
Lineage: Eukaryota; Fungi; Glomeromycota; Glomeromycetes; Glomerales; Glomeraceae
Description: SSU rRNA
Rfam family: Eukaryotic small subunit ribosomal RNA
Source: RNAcentral